Molecule: ribosomal RNA, 403 nt
Filed under: uncultured bacterium
Lineage: Bacteria
Description: partial 16S ribosomal RNA
Rfam family: Bacterial small subunit ribosomal RNA
Source: RNAcentral
GACGAACGCUGGCGGCGUGCCUAAUACAUGCAAGUCGAACGCAGUGGGGACGGGUGAGUAACACGUGGGUAACCUCCCAUCAGAGGGGAUAACACUUGGAAACAGGUGCUAAACCGAUACUGAUGGAUGGACCCGCGGUGCAUUAGCUUGUUGGUGAGGUAACGGCUCACCAAGGCCACGAUGCAUAGCGGACCAAUGGUGUGAGUAGACCCCUCGGGAGCAAGGACACGGCCCAGACUCCUACGGGAGGCAGCAGUAGGGAAUCUUCGGCAAUGGACAAAAGUCUGACCGAUCAACACAGCAUGAGUAAAGAAGGUUUUCGGAUCGUAAAACUCUGUUGUUAGAGAAGCGGUAUCUAACCAGAAAGCCACGGCUAACUACGUGCCAGCAGCCGCGGUAAUUC